GGAGGCAGCAGUGGGGAAUAUUGCACAAUGGGCGCAAGCCUGAUGCAGCCAUGCCGCGUGUAUGAAGAAGGCCUUCGGGUUGUAAAGUACUUUCAGCGGGGAGGAAGGCGAUAAGGUUAAUAACCUUGUCGAUUGACGUUACCCGCAGAAGAAGCACCGGCUAACUCCGUGCCAGCAGCCGCGGUAAUACGGAGGGUGCAAGCGUUAAUCGGAAUUACUGGGCGUAAAGCGCACGCAGGCGGUCUGUCAAGUCGGAUGUGAAAUCCCCGGGCUCAACCUGGGAACUGCAUUCGAAACUGGCAGGCUAGAGUCUUGUAGAGGGGGGUAGAAUUCCAGGUGUAGCGGUGAAAUGCGUAGAGAUCUGGAGGAAUACCGGUGGCGAAGGCGGCCCCCUGGACAAAGACUGACGCUCAGGUGCGAAAGCGUUGGACCAAAACA
Molecule: ribosomal RNA, 438 nt
Filed under: Enterobacter asburiae
Lineage: Bacteria; Pseudomonadati; Pseudomonadota; Gammaproteobacteria; Enterobacterales; Enterobacteriaceae
Description: bacterial SSU rRNA
Rfam family: Bacterial small subunit ribosomal RNA
Source: RNAcentral